UGCGGUUUGGUGUAAUAGUAACAUAUGAGACUCAUGAUCUCAUGUAAAAGGUGCAAAUCCUUUAUCCGCAU
Molecule: non-coding RNA, 71 nt
Organism: Sporothrix brasiliensis 5110
Lineage: Eukaryota; Fungi; Ascomycota; Sordariomycetes; Ophiostomatales; Ophiostomataceae
Source: the annotation of a RefSeq genome assembly